AUGGCCUCGAGCUCCCUCCCGCUCCUCGCCCUCCUGGCCCUGCUGGCCCUGCCAGGGCUCCGGGCGGCCGUGACCCUGUUGGAGUGCGGGGGGGACCUCCAGCCCCCCGGGGGGUCCCUGACUCUGCUCUGCCGUGGGUCUGGAUUCAGUUUCGAGAGUUUUGACAUGUACUGGGUCCGACAAAGACCUGGGAAGGCGUUGGAAUUCGUUGCAUGGAUCAACGACGAUGGUGACAGCACCGGUUACGCGCCGUCGGUCAAGGGUUCGUUCUCGAUCUCCAGGGACAACGGGCAGAGCUCGGUGACGCUGACCAUGAACAACCUUAAGGACGAGGAUUCCGCCAUUUAUUUCUGUGCCACGGGUGCUUUUUCUGGCGCGACUUCUUAUUAUGCUGGUGUUCAUUUUGUUGAUGGUUUUGGCCCCAUCCCAGUCACGGCAUCCCCACUUGUCUCCAAAUGUCCCCAGACCCUUCCCCCAAAUCCCAACCCUCGAAUCCAAUUUUAA
Catharus ustulatus (Swainson's thrush) is the source of this 504-nucleotide non-coding RNA. The record is from the annotation of a RefSeq genome assembly. Lineage: Eukaryota; Metazoa; Chordata; Aves; Passeriformes; Turdidae.